CAGCCGCCACGGGAAUACGGAGGGGGCUAGCGUUGUUCGGAAUUACUGGGCGUAAAGCGCACGUAGGCGACUUGGUAAGUUAGAGGUGAAAGCCCGGAGCUCAACUCCGGAAUUGCCUUUAAGACUGCCGAGCUAGUAGGUGAGAGAGGUAAGUGGAAUUCCGAGUGUAGAGGUGAAAUUCGUAGAUAUUCGGAAGAACACCAGUGGCGAAGGCGGCUCACUGGCUCAUUCUAGACGCUGAGGUGCGAAAGCGUGGGGAGCAAACAGGAUUAGAUACCCCCGUAGUCCCUGUCUCUUAUAC
Molecule: ribosomal RNA, 301 nt
Filed under: uncultured bacterium
Lineage: Bacteria
Description: partial 16S ribosomal RNA
Rfam family: Bacterial small subunit ribosomal RNA
Source: RNAcentral